GCGCGGUUAGCUCAGUUGGUAGAGCGCGUCGUUGACGUCGACGAGGUCGUAGGUUCGAUCCCUACACCGCGCA
Molecule: transfer RNA, 73 nt
Filed under: bacterium
Lineage: Bacteria
Description: tRNA-Val
Rfam family: tRNA
About the family: Transfer RNA (tRNA) molecules are approximately 80 nucleotides in length. Their secondary structure includes four short double-helical elements and three loops (D, anti-codon, and T loops).
Source: RNAcentral